Molecule: ribosomal RNA, 765 nt
Filed under: uncultured bacterium
Lineage: Bacteria
Description: bacterial SSU rRNA
Rfam family: Bacterial small subunit ribosomal RNA
Source: RNAcentral
AGUUUGAUCUUGGCUCAUACAGAACGCUGGCGGGAUGCCUUACAUAUGCAAUCCAAACGGAAGGCGGACUUCUGUCUGGCGGCGAGUGGCGAACGGGUGAGUAACGUAUCGGAACGGGCCCCGGAGCGGGGGAUAACUACUCCAAAGAGUUGCUAAUACCGCAUACACCCUACGGGGGAGANNNNNNNAUCGCAAGACCUCUCACUAUUAGAGCGGCCGAUAUCAUAUUAUCUAGUUGGGGAGGUAAAGGCUCACCACGGCGACCAUCCAUAUCUGGUUUGAGAGGACGACCACCCACACUGGGACUGAGACACGGCCCACACUCCUACUCCAGGCAGCAGUGGGGAAUUUUGUACAAUGGGGGAAACCCUGAUCCUGCCACUCCCCGUGUGCGAUGAAAGCCUUCGGGUUGUAAAUUACUUUUGGCAGGAAAGAACGCUCACGGGUUAAUAACCUGUGUGUAUGACGGUACCUGCAGAAUAAGCACCGGCUAACUACUUGCCAGCAGCCGCGGUAAUACAUAGGGUGCAUGUGGUAAUCGGAAUUACUGGGCGUAAAGCGUGCGCGUGCGGUUCGGAAAGAAAGAUGUGAAAUACAAGGGCUUAACCUUGGAACUGCAUUCCUAACUGCCGGGCUAUAGUAUGUCAGAGGGGGGAGGAAUUCCGCUUGUAUAGUGAAAUGCGUAUAUAUGCGGAGGAACACCUAUGGCGAAGGUACCCCCCUGNAUAAUACUGACGCUCAGGCACGAAAGCGGGGGGAGUAAAC